This 246-nucleotide ribosomal RNA is filed under the name uncultured crenarchaeote. RNAcentral describes it as "partial 16S ribosomal RNA". It matches the Rfam family "Archaeal small subunit ribosomal RNA", at positions 478 to 725 of the family's 1478-position model. Lineage: Archaea; Thermoproteati; Thermoproteota. The record is from RNAcentral.
AGCUCUCCGAGUGGUGUGGAUGUUUAUUGGGCCUAAAGCAUCCGUAGCUGGCUAAGUUAGUCCCUUGUUAAAUCCACCGAAUUAAUCGUUGGAUUGCGGGGGAUACUGCUUGGCUAGGGGACGAGAGAGGCAGACGGUAUUUUGGGGUAGGGGUGAAAUCCUAUAAUCCCAGGAAGACCACCAGUGGCGAAGGCUGUCUGCUAGAACGCGCCCGACGGUGAGGGAUGAAAGCUGGGGGAGCGAACC